Molecule: ribosomal RNA, 1245 nt
Filed under: metagenome
Description: bacterial LSU rRNA
Rfam family: Bacterial large subunit ribosomal RNA
Source: RNAcentral
UGAAUACGAGAUGCUACGGCGUCGAAGCAGUGUAUGUCAGACUUCCAAGAAAAGCUCGCAAUGUCAUAAAUAAAGAAUGCCUGUACCAUAACCGACACAGGUGGGUAGGUAGAGUAUACUAAGGGGCGCGAGAUAACUCUCUCUAAGGAACUCGGCAAAAUAACUCCGUAACUUCGGGAGAAGGAGUGCCUUCUUUAAGAAGGUUGCAAUAACAAGAUCCAAGCAACUGUUUAUCAAAAACACAGGUCUCCGCUAAGUCGUAAGACGAUGUAUGGGGGCUGACGCCUGCCCAGUGCCAGAAGGUUAAAGAAGUUGGUUAGCUUUUGCGAAGCUGAUGACUGAAGCCCUGGUGAACGGCGGCCGUAACUAUAACGGUCCUAAGGUAGCGAAAUUCCUUGUCGGGUAAGUUCCGACCCGCACGAAAGGCGUAAUGAUUUGGAUACUGUCUCGGAGAGGGACUCGGUGAAAUAGACUUGUCUGUGAAGAUGCGGACUACCUGCACCAGGACAGAAAGACCCUAUGAAGCUUUACUGUAACUUGAAAUUGAAAUUGGACUUUAUUUGCGCAGUAUAGGUGGAAGGCGUUGAAAGUAAUCUUGCGGGAUUAGUGGAGCCAUCAGUGAGAUACCACUCCUAUAAUGUUAGAUUUCUAACUUUGGAUCAUGAUCUGGUCAAAGAACAGUUUCAGGCGGGCAGUUUGACUGGGGCGGUCGCCUCCCAAAUGGUAACGGAGGCGUACAAAGGUUUCCUCUGAACGGGUAGAAAUCGUAUCUAGAGUGUAAAGGCAUAAGGAAGCUUGACUGUGAGACCUACAAGUCGAGCAGGGACGAAAGUCGGUCUUAGUGAUCUGACGGUGCUGAGUGGAAAGGCCGUCACUCAACGGAUAAAAGUUACUCUAAGGAUAACAGGCUGAUCUCCCCCAAGAGUUCACAUCGACGGGGAGGUUUGGCACCUUGAUGUCGGCUCAUCGCAUCCUGGGGCGGUAGUACGUCCCAAGGGUUGGGCUGUUCGCCCAUGAAAGCGGUACGCGAGCUGGGUUCAGAACGUCGUGAGACAGUUCGGUCCAUAUCCGGUGUAGGCGUUAGAAUAUUGAGAGGAGCCUUCUUUAGUACGAGAGGACCGAGAAGGACAUACCUCUGGUGUACCAGUUAUCGUGCUAACGGUAAACGCUGGGUAGCUAUGUUUGGAGAGGAUAACCGCUGAAAGCAUCUAAGUGGGAAGCCCACCUCAAGAUGAGUAUUCUCAC